UACGAAGGGGGCUAGCGUUGUUCGGAAUUACUGGGUGUAAAGCGUGCGCAGGCGGCUUCUCAAGUCAGGGGUGAAAGCCCAGAGCUCAACUCUGGAACUGCCUUUGAGACUGAGAGGCUUGAGUACGGGAGAGGUGAGUGGAAUUCCCAGUGUAGAGGUGAAAUUCGUAGAUAUUGGGAAGAACACCGGUGGCGAAGGCGGCUCACUGGCCCGAAACUGACGCUCAUGCACGACAGCGUGGGGAUCAAACAGG
Molecule: ribosomal RNA, 253 nt
Filed under: uncultured bacterium
Lineage: Bacteria
Description: partial 16S ribosomal RNA
Rfam family: Bacterial small subunit ribosomal RNA
Source: RNAcentral